UACGGAGGGUGCAAGCGUUAUCCGGAUUCACUGGGUUUAAAGGGUGCGUAGGUUGAUAGGUAAGUCAGUGGUGAAAUACUCCGACUCAAUCGGAGAACUGCCGUUGAUACUAUUUACCUUGAAUACGGUGGAGGCGGGCGGAAUGCGUCAUGUAGUGGUGAAAUACUUAGAUAUGACGCAGAACACCCAUUGCGAAGGCAGCUCGCUACACCGGCAUUGACACUGAGGCACGAAAGCGUGGGGAUCAAACAGG
This 253-nucleotide ribosomal RNA is filed under the name uncultured bacterium. RNAcentral describes it as "partial 16S ribosomal RNA". It matches the Rfam family "Bacterial small subunit ribosomal RNA", at positions 524 to 776 of the family's 1533-position model. The record is from RNAcentral.